RNAcentral lists this ribosomal RNA (491 nucleotides) under uncultured bacterium. RNAcentral's name for it is "partial 16S ribosomal RNA". It matches the Rfam family "Bacterial small subunit ribosomal RNA", at positions 29 to 507 of the family's 1533-position model. The record is from RNAcentral.
AGUGAACGCUGGCGGUAGGCCUAACACAUGCAGGUCGAACGGCAGCACAGUAAGAGCUUGCUCUUACGGGUGGCGAGUGGCGGACGGGUGAGGAAUACAUCGGAAUCUACUUUUUCGUGGGGAUAACGUAGGGAAACUUACGCUAAUACCGCAUACGACCUACGGGUGAAAGCAGGGGAUCUUCGGACCUUGCGCGAUUGAAUGAGCCGAUGUCGGAUUAGCUAGUUGGCGGGGUAAAGGCCCACCAAGGCGACGAUCCGUAGCUGGUCUGAGAGGAUGAUCAGCCACACUGGAACUGAGACACGGUCCAGACUCCUACGGGAGGCAGCAGUGGGGAAUAUUGGACAAUGGGCGCAAGCCUGAUCCAGCCAUACCGCGUGGGUGAAGAAGGCCUUCGGGUUGUAAAGCCCUUUUGUUGGGAAAGAAAAGCAGCAGGUUAAUACCCCGCUGUUCUGACGGUACCCAAAGAAUAAGCACCGGCUAACUUCGUG